ACGUAGGGUCCGAGCGUUGUCCGGAAUUACUGGGCGUAAAGCGCGCGCAGGCGGUCCGCGAGGUGUCACGUGAAAGCCCCGGGCUCAACUCGGGAGGGUCGUGGCAAACCGGCGGACUUGAGGCCGGUAGAGGUGGGUGGAACUCCUGGUGUAGUGGUGAAAUGCGUAGAGAUCCGGAGGAACCCCAGAGGCGAAGGCGGCCCCCUGGCUCGUACCUGACGCUCAGCCACGAAAGCAUGGGGAGCGAACGGGA
RNAcentral lists this ribosomal RNA (253 nucleotides) under uncultured prokaryote. RNAcentral describes it as "partial 16S ribosomal RNA". It matches the Rfam family "Bacterial small subunit ribosomal RNA", at positions 525 to 777 of the family's 1533-position model. The record is from RNAcentral.